ACUACUGUACCUUGUAUUGAUUGCAUGCAACUGUAGUCUGUCAUAUACAUCAAACAACAAAACAGAUGGUUCCUGCUGACAGGAUAUUUAUAGUCGUCAGAUUUCCUGUGUAAUAAAUCCAUACAUA
Apodemus sylvaticus (European woodmouse) is the source of this 127-nucleotide non-coding RNA. Lineage: Eukaryota; Metazoa; Chordata; Mammalia; Rodentia; Muridae. The record is from RefSeq and is a predicted model, not a curated record.